Molecule: ribosomal RNA, 1028 nt
Filed under: Penicillium neoechinulatum
Lineage: Eukaryota; Fungi; Ascomycota; Eurotiomycetes; Eurotiales; Aspergillaceae
Description: SSU rRNA
Rfam family: Eukaryotic small subunit ribosomal RNA
Source: RNAcentral
GCAACUUGUACUGUGAAACUGCGAAUGGCUCAUUAAAUCAGUUAUCGUUUAUUUGAUAGUACCUUACUACAUGGAUACCUGUGGUAAUUCUAGAGCUAAUACAUGCUAAAAACCCCGACUUCAGGAAGGGGUGUAUUUAUUAGAUAAAAAACCAACGCCCUUCGGGGCUCCUUGGUGAAUCAUAAUAACUUAACGAAUCGCAUGGCCUUGCGCCGGCGAUGGUUCAUUCAAAUUUCUGCCCUAUCAACUUUCGAUGGUAGGAUAGUGGCCUACCAUGGUGGCAACGGGUAACGGGGAAUUAGGGUUCGAUUCCGGAGAGGGAGCCUGAGAAACGGCUACCACAUCCAAGGAAGGCAGCAGGCGCGCAAAUUACCCAAUCCCGAUACGGGGAGGUAGUGACAAUAAAUACUGAUACGGGGCUCUUUUGGGUCUCGUAAUUGGAAUGAGAACAAUUUAAAUCCCUUAACGAGGAACAAUUGGAGGGCAAGUCUGGUGCCAGCAGCCGCGGUAAUUCCAGCUCCAAUAGCGUAUAUUAAAGUUGUUGCAGUUAAAAAGCUCGUAGUUGAACCUUGGGCCUGGCUGGCCGGUCCGCCUCACCGCGAGUACUGGUCCGGCUGGGCCUUUCCUUCUGGGGAACCUCAUGGCCUUCACUGGCUGUGGGGGGAACCAGGACUUUUACUGUGAAAAAAUUAGAGUGUUCAAAGCAGGCCUUUGCUCGAAUACAUUAGCAUGGAAUAAUAGAAUAGGACGUGUGGUUCUAUUUUGUUGGUUUCUAGGACCGCCGUAAUGAUUAAUAGGGAUAGUCGGGGGCGUCAGUAUUCAGCUGUCAGAGGUGAAAUUCUUGGAUUUGCUGAAGACUAACUACUGCGAAAGCAUUCGCCAAGGAUGUUUUCAUUAAUCAGGGAACGAAAGUUAGGGGAUCGAAGACGAUCAGAUACCGUCGUAGUCUUAACCAUAAACUAUGCCGACUAGGGAUCGGACGGGAUUCUAUAAUGACCCGUUCGGCACCUUACGAGAAAUCAAAGUUU